RNAcentral lists this ribosomal RNA (207 nucleotides) under uncultured Syntrophaceae bacterium. RNAcentral describes it as "partial 16S ribosomal RNA". It matches the Rfam family "Bacterial small subunit ribosomal RNA", at positions 568 to 774 of the family's 1533-position model. Lineage: Bacteria; Pseudomonadati; Thermodesulfobacteriota; Syntrophia; Syntrophales; Syntrophaceae. The record is from RNAcentral.
CGUGUAGGCGGCUUGACAAGUCAGAUGUGAAAUCCCUGGGCUUAACCCAGGAAGUGCAUUUGAAACUGUCUGGCUCGAGUAAGGGAGAGGAAAGUGGAAUUCCUGGUGUAGAGGUGAAAUUCGUAGAUAUCAGGAGGAACACCGGUGGCGAAGGCGACUUUCUGGCCCUAUACUGACGCUGAGACGCGAAAGCGUGGGUAGCAAACA